GACCCUCCCAGGUAGAUCUUGGUCAAGAUACCACCUGGAAGCGUGAGCGCUUGUUGCUCGAGGUCCCAGCCAGCAAGAAUAACCUGCGGACCCCAAACCGGUUUUUAAGCAAACGCAACUGAAUACAAACAGAUCUCUACAUUGAUGUCACACUUUCUUCCUUCUGCUGAAUAUGAUUCCUAGCAGCUGGGAUAUUAAGCCCCCAGAAUGGAGCUUGUGCGUCUGAGGCCCUGCCCCGGCACGUCAAGGUCACAGAGAGGAGGAGGCGGGCAGCCACUCAAUCAUGCACCAGGGCCAGCUCCCAGGUCCCCCGGUCUGGGAGAGACGCGUAGGAACCCUCAGGAAAGGAAAGCAAGAGCAUCUCACCAUCCUGCUGGGAAGCCCCAGGCUCCCUAGCACGUACCCUUGAAAUCACCAGGCGGUGUGCUCUGUGGACUCCUCCCGUCUGCCCAGAGACAUCCUUCCUGCCCCUGGAUGUCUGGUUGAAUCUCUCCAGAGGCCUUCCCUCACCCCUACCCUGAAGACCAGACGUCCGUGUUCUCUGAUACAGGGGCCUCAGCCUCAGCACUGGUGCCAUUUGGGGCCAGACGAUUUCUGUAGUGGGAGCUGCCGUGGGCAUUGUAAGAUGUUGGGCAGCGUCCCUCACCCCUCCCC
Bos taurus (domestic cattle) is the source of this 654-nucleotide long non-coding RNA. The record is from Ensembl. NCBI's taxonomy places the organism in Eukaryota, Metazoa, Chordata, Mammalia, Artiodactyla, Bovidae.